Molecule: long non-coding RNA, 1240 nt
Organism: Octopus sinensis (East Asian common octopus)
Lineage: Eukaryota; Metazoa; Mollusca; Cephalopoda; Octopoda; Octopodidae
Exons: 2
Source: RefSeq, a predicted model, not a curated record
UGUGUACUUGCACGUCAUCAGGUGCGUGGCCGUGAGAUAUACUUCAAGAAGGGGAGACAAUCACAUAAGGCAACAGAGAUUACUACAACAGAUUCUUAAAUAUCUUUUCACUCUGAAGCAAGUAACUUCUAUCUUUACUACUUUACAACUUUCCAAAAAGAAAUUGUGAUUCUGUAACCUUCUUGCCCUGCUGUAUACACCACUUUGCACUCAUCUGUUAGUUUGUAUACUGAAAGAAGCUACACUCUCCCUCACUUUUCUUGCCAUUGUUGGGAAAAGGUUGAGGGUUUGGUUGAAAGGCAAAGUUUGUUUAUUUUUCCUUCAAGUCCUUACAAUCAUGUCCACAUCGAUCGCUCAAAACUAACACUUUUCAUCACAGAUACAAGACAAAAGUGAAAAUUGCCAAAAAACUGCCAAACUUUCUGGAAAAAGAUAAACAGAGGAAUCUAGACUCAUCUUCGUAGCAGGAUUGCUCCAGCUUGUAACAGCAACUAUUUCUUUAAUUUAACGGUUCUUCUCAGCUGUGGUGUCAUGUGGAAGCUAUUCUGAAUUUGUAAUACCAAUCUCCUCCACCUCUUGUCUAAACAAUAGACCUUGGAUUUGAACUCUGAACUCAUUUACCUCACAAUGGACUAUUACUAACUAGUGUGCUACAUCAGGUCAUUUAGUCAUGCAUACACAAUGUCUGAAUAUAAGAUGGGAUGGUCACAGUUGGAACAUCUUUGAUCAUAUGUCUCUCUGCAUCAGGACCCAUCAGGGGUUAAACAACAACUAUAGCCACUUACACUAACUACUAUUAAAUAAUGUAGUCCUAGAUACACUAUGCCUGAAUAAAAGAUGGUCACAACCAUCCUAUCGUAGAUCGGUUGGAUCAGGAUUGUCCUGGGGUUAAACAACAACAGCAACUACAACAGCAGCAACAACAACACUAACAACAACAACAACAACGCAAACAGCAGCAGGAGUAACAACAGCAUGACAGCAGCAGCAACAACAACAACAACAGCAGCAACAUGGAAAAAUAAACUUUUAAUCAUUCCUUAAUUAAAACUACUAAUUACAAUUUAAUUCAUAUCUACAUAAUUCUAUGCAUAUUUCUUCAUUUUUUUUUUGUUGUGUAUGUUUGUUUGUGUAUGUUUCUUUUUUAAAAUCUCUUUCAUGAAUUAAGAUGCCACAAAAGUUUUGCGAGAAUGUGCUAAUUAUGUCCGUUAAUUAAAUAAAACCUUUAAAAUAAUUUGUC